This 1729-nucleotide long non-coding RNA is filed under the name Vigna radiata. Its description in RNAcentral is "long non-coding RNA (VRAD_LNC016409)". The record is from RNAcentral. Lineage: Eukaryota; Viridiplantae; Streptophyta; Magnoliopsida; Fabales; Fabaceae.
AAAUUUAAUUAAUCCUUUCAACAUACAAGCAAGCAAAUAAACAGAACCAAAUCAACAUGUUAUACACACAAGUACUACACAUGCAUGCUAAGUUCAUCAACUUAUGACCGACCACUAAGACAUUGUCCGGACGGUAUGAACCACGUAGCCCGACGUCCCUAGCACCCGGUAUGGUGUAAUAGCUCCCUUUACUUAUCAGCUUCCACCCGAGGUUAGUCCUCAAACGAUCAUCUAUUCGUAUGACCGCGGACCUCCCGCCAUUCCCACACAUGAGUAACCUUUCUCUACCUGAGAAAGCAUCCUCACGGAAUAUCAGGAUCAGGACGACACAGGGUCUGACCAUGUUCAUACUUUACCAAUCAUCACCAAUUCAUGAGACGUUCCUCCAUUGGAAUUCCCUUACUCAGCCAAAUUCAAUCAAGGUUCAUUAUUACUUUCAGACUGGAAGGAUGUCAAGAAAAUGAUCGGAUUAUCAACGAUAGAAUAAAUGAUGGAAUGAGACAAGGAUACAUGACCGAAUGGUCCAACAAGAACUAAAACCGGAUGCCCUAGAACAUUUAUAAUAGUUGACCGGCUGAUCCGGCAACGAAUAGAACUAUCCACCCAAAGACUUAACACCAAUAAUGACCGGACAUUCAGAUCAAAGGUGAGACUGAAUAACAGAAGAAUGUCAAAUGGUUGGCCGAAUGGUCCGAAAAGGAAUAAAACCGUAACCCAAAGGAUUUAUUAUAAGUGAUAGUCAUCCGGACGCUUUGGCAAAGAAUCUUAUAAAAACAAGUACAAAUCAUGGUCGAAGGUUGGUCUAUGACCGGACACUUCUCAAACCGGACGAACUAAGAAAGGAGAAACUCUUUAAAGAAGUAAAAGGACUUUAGUCAAGUAAACCAGACGUUUCAAUAAAUAGAAGCUCACUAGACCAUUCAGUCACUAAGUGACCGAACGGUUUCAAAAGGAAACAUAUCAGAUUUGCAUGUGUUAUAGUUUAAGUGUCAGCCUAAGGCCGAACACUUGUAAGACCGGACGCUUGGUUUAUGACCAGCGUUCUUAAAUAUCUAUUAAUAAACAAAUAAAGGAACCCAACUAAACUUAGCAACAUACUAGACCGAACAGUCCGAACAGACCGAACGGUAAAGGGGAACCGAAUGGUCCUAAUGACCUUCGAUCUCAGGUUCUCGUUUUCUCUAUGUUUUAUACAUUCCUAUCAGUGCAGAAUUUAAAACUCAUACUUAUCAUACAAUUCAUACAACAACAUACAAUAUUUCAAUCAUAAGAAAUCAAACAACAUACUUUAGAUAUCAAACAUACAUUAAAUCAGGCAUACAUUCAAACCAUACGGAUAAAUGAUAAUUAAACUAUAUAAGCUUCCCUUACCUCUAAAUCCAGCUAGUACGUCUAAGGUUGAUUGGCAGCAACUACCUCUUCUAAGGUUUCCAAAGUCUAGAGUGAAAUACAAAAGUAGGUUCAGAGGGAUGGUUUACAGGUACAUGCAAGCUUUAAUGGUGCAUGCAUGCAGGAAAACUAAUGAGCUUCAAGGGUUCGGACACUUACCAGUUCCGAAUGUGAAUCUGGUUGGAACAAGUUGAAGCCCUUGGUACUGGCAGUAACAAUUCUGAACAGAUGCAAGUGAUCGAAGAAGAAUUGGAGGUUAGAAAUCUAGAGAGAAGGUUGGGAGGUUUAGAGAGAAGGAGGAGAGAUUUGAGUUUCCAGAAAGUUGAAGUUUUGAGGANNN